CAUAAAAUAUCGAGCCUCUCAGACUCUAUAAUAUAUGUAUGUAUUUACACUCGUCCAUACUCCCUAUAUAAAUUCAUGGGUCUAUAUAGGGCUACUACGCUCGCGUCCAACGCUCACGUCACGCCUUAAUGCGGUGCUUCACUACGCCAUCAAGGUGGACAGACGAGUGUAUAAAUAUGUGUCCAUACCCCCUAUAUGAAUUAAACACUCAAAUAGGGCUACUACGCUUACGUCCAACGCUCACGUCACACCAUAAUGCGGCUAUAUGCUACGCCAUUAAGGUGGACAGACACAUAUGGCUAGCUAGCAUUUAUAUACAUACUCUCUCAUAAAUACAUAUUUAUAUCCACCGAAAAUCCCAUUUUCGGUAACUCUCCAAGAGAAAUAAAAAUCGUCAAAUUUAAAAUGACGUUAAAAUAUUCCGCAACAUUAAUUGUUCAACCAUGAACUAUAGCAUGCAUUUAUUUAAAAUAAACGUCCACUCACAAAUUAGGCCUAAGCCUGAUGUCGAUCUGGGGCCUCGUCUACUCGAGCCUCCUCACGUCUUGUUCCAAUAUAAUAUUAAUUUCCCGACCAAAAAUCCAAUAUUUAAUCAAAAUAGGCAAAAUUACCCGAGAGCCAUAAAUACGCUCAUCAUUGCCUAACUUCGAUAUUCUUAAAUUGGAACAAUCCGAACUUAAAUAUCAUACUCAACAGUCGUAAAUACAACCUCCCCAAAAUACGACUUAAAUCCUACGGCCGGAUUCUGCAUUAAUUAACCGCCAAAAAUACCAAACUUCGGAAAUUCACGAACCUAUCCAAAUCUCAUCCAAAAAUUUCAUAAAUCACAUCAAUAUACUCCUCUUAAUAUUCCACACUUAAAACCCUAAAAAUCUCCUAACCGGCAGCGGCGGCCGGAGGCCAAUUCUGGCGACCUCCAAAACCUAUGAAAUUUUGACAGAAUAAUCCUCUCAUCAUGCUCUACAACUUUCCUAACUAGCACAAACACCAAUUCCAAGCCUAACUAGGGCAAUCGACUAAAAACAUCAAAAACACCAUAAAACUUCCACCUCAAAUUUCUCCUUACCUAGCUCAAGAGGGAGUGAGUCCUUUUAGGGCAAGGCUGCUGGAUUGGAGUGAGUCCUCUUGAGCUAGGUAAGGAGAAAUUUGAGGUGGAAGUUUUAUGGUGUUUUUGAUGUUUUUAGUCGAUUGCCCUAGUUAGGCUUGGAAUUGGUGUUUGUGCUAGUUAGGAAAGUUGUAGAGCAUGAUGAGAGAAUUAUUCUGUCAAAAUUUCAUAGGUUUUGGAGGUCGCCGGAAUUGGUCUCCGGCCGCCGCUGCCCGCGGAGCCGCCGCCGGUUAGGAGAUUUUUAGGGUUUUAAGUGUGGAAUAUUAAGAGUAGUAUAUUGAUGUGAUUUAUGGAAUUUUUGGAUGAGAUUUGGAUAGGUUCGUGAAUUUCCGAAGUUUGGUAUUUUUGGCGGUUAAUUAAUGCAGAAUCCGGCCGUAGGAUUUAAGUCGUAUUUUGGGGAGGUUGUAUUUACGACUGUUGAGUAUGAUAUUUAAGUUCGGAUUGUUCCGAUUUAAGAAUAUCGAAGUUAGGCAAUGAUGAGUGUAUUUAUGGCUCUCGGGUAAUUUUGCCUAUUUUGAUUAAAUAUUGGAUUUUUGGUUGGGAAAUUAAUAUUAUAUUGGAACAGGACGUGAGGAGGCUCGAGCAGACGAGACCCCAGAUCGACAUCAGGCUUAGGCCUAAUUUGUGAGUGGACGUUUAUUUUAAAUAAAUGCAUUGAACAAUUAAUGUUGUGAGUGGAAUAUUUGUCACAUCCCAUGACCCAUUUCGCCGUAACACGAUAUUGUUCGCUUUGGGCCCACCGGGCCUCACGGUUUUGUUUCCGGCAGCUUCCCAGUAGGUCACCCAUCCUAGGAUUGCUCUAGCAUCAACAUGCUUAACCUCGGAGUACCCAUCCCCUCCGAAGCCGCUGAGCCACCAAAAGGCCUCGUGUUAGAUUGGAGGUGGGCAUGUACAUAUACAGCACAUAACCCCUCUCCGUUUGGCCGAUGUGGGAUAUUACAAUCCACCCCCCUUGGGAGUCCGACGCCCUCGUCGGCACACUCGCACCACACGGCAGAGUGGCUCUGAUACCAUUUGUCACAACCCAGGACCCAUUCCGCCGUAACACGAUAUUGUUCGCUUUGGGCCCACCGGCCCUUACGGUUUUGUUUCCAGCAGCUCAGGAGCAGUUUCCCAGUAGGUCACCCAUCCUAGGAUUGCUCUAGCAUCAACAUGCUUAACCUCGGAGUACCCAUCCCUUCCGAAGCCGUUGAGCCACCAAAAGGCCUCGUGUUAGAUUGGAGGUGGGCAUGUACAUAUACAGCACAUAACCCCUCUCCGUUUGGCCGAUGUGGGAUAUUACACACAUGCCAUCUGCAAGCUUCAUUGCUUUGCAUAUGCCAAAUCUGCCAAAAACACAGCAAUCUGUUCCUUCUAGACAGCCAACUUCGUUUGAGCUUUGUGAACAUCUCCAGACAAUCUAGAACGUGAGCCACAUAUCAUUGGAAAGCUCUAUGUGUCUAGUUUUCAGAACUUUUUGCAGUUCGUCCAUAUCUAUUUUAACGAAGAAGUUAUGGAUGUUUUAGUGCGCAAAGGUCAUGCUGCACGGAAAUUUUUAUGCACUCUCGGGAUUGCAGCUUUUCGUAGCUUCUUUCAAUCCUUUUAAAUGGUUCAAGUGGAACUAUUUACUCACCUAUCUACUCCUUUUUGUAGAUAUAUCUCAUAGAGACAUUAAGUGCCUCGCAGAUAGUGGAACAAUCCACAAAAUUCUAAGGAACCGGCAACUAUCUUUGGAUUUUGUGCCUUUAUAAAUCUUUUGUAACUACAAUAAUUGAAUCAUACCGGUCAUUUUGGGACACGGUUUAGCUUGCAUCUUGAUGCCUUAUGACUCCAUGAUCAAUGUCACAGAUGCCCUCUGACACGACCCACCCCGAAUUUCACCCUGAAACCCAGAGUAAGUCGUGCGGGGACCACCUCCAAGGAAAAUUUACUGAAAAGAUUAAGAAAAUCUCCCUUGCAGAUGGACAACCCUAACUCGAAAAUUUCAUAUUACACUCUUAAUUUAACGCUUCUGAAUAUCACAUAAUAUACAAAAUUCUAAAGUAUUCAGAGCUACUAAACACAAGCGGAAGCAAGAAAACACAAGUAGGUUGAACAGGUAACCUACUGAUGAAAACUGGCCGAAAAGCGGGUGACUAUGCCUCGUCUCCUACUAGAUGCAACCCGAACUCUGCAGACUGGGCAAUUUAAAACGAAGGGCCCAGGGGAAAACAUUUAAUAACGUUAGAGUGAGUGGACAAAAAUAAAUUAAUAAUUAAAAUAUUUAUGUUUCCCCAAAUUAAUUUCUAAAGGAAAAAUCGAAUGCAUGCCGCAAGCGAUAAAAACUUUUAUANNNNNNNNNNNNNNNNNNNNNNNNNNNNNNNNNNNNNNNNNNNNNNNNNNNNNNNNNNNNNNNNNNNNNNNNNNNNNNNNNNNNNNNNNNNNNNNNNNNNNNNNNNNNNNNNNNNNNNNNNNNNNNNNNNNNNNNNNNNNNNNNNNNNNNNNNNNNNNNNNNNNNNNNNNNNNNCUUCCACCUCAAAUUUCUCCUUACCUAGCUCAAGAGGGAGUGAGUCCUUUUAGGGCAAGGUUGCUGGGGUUGGAAGGGGCUACAAAACCAUACCAAGCUUGCCCGGAUUGGUGGCCGGAGGAGGAAGUUCCGGCGAAAAAACCGAUUCGGCAGUCGAAGCUUCGGGCGGCACCGCUCACUCACGGCGGCGCUAGGGAGGCUGUCACCGGUCUAGAAAUGUUGCUGGGAGGGAGACCGACCGAACGGAACCGGUCCGGCGGCGAACGGAGGCCGGACGGCGGCGGGAGGGCGGCCGGAAAACCGGGCAGCGGGAGGCUCGGGUGCGGAGAGGAAAUCGGGAGGGAGAGAGAAAGAAAAGAAGAAGAAAAUGGGUUGGGCUCGGCCCAGCCGACCCAACACUCCCUUUUUAACCCAAACUUCCAAAAUAAAAACACCCCGAAAAAUAAUACCCGAAUAAAAAUUACCUUUUACUAGCUAAAAUUUACCAUUUUUACCGUAGUCAUAUUUUCCUCAUACGAAUAAUCCUCCGCACAUAAUCGUCCCCGAAACCCCUCUAGGGACCAAUUAAACUAUUUACUCAAUGAUCGAGACGGUAAAAUUCUUAUUAUAAUCACGCUAGUAAAUAAGGUAAAAAUAUAAGGGUCGGGAUGUGACACCCUCUAUGCAUUGAGAGGCAACCGAAUCAUGUUGAGCUUUAAAAACAUUCAUGCUAAUAGUUUUCAUUUGAAAACAAAUUGUGAGAAUGAACAAGAGUUAUUUUGUGUAUACCUUCUCAUGGAGAAGCUCAUAAUUAAGUCAAUCUAGAAGACAGUAUGUCACUACGAUUUGAAUAUCGAAUCCCAUGUUAUCGCCAAACAUGAUAUUUGGGACACCGACUCAUGCUUUGGUUUGACCAAAUCGGUCAUUCUGGAAGAGAUAUGAUGGUCCGAAUUUUGAGCUACUUUAAAUUCUCAUGGACAUCCAUUCUUCCGCUCAAAACAAAGACAUUCGGGAUCUAGUUUCACCAUAAAGCAUGAUGGUGAUGCCAUGGUUGUAAAUGGCAGCACUCGGGGGACAUUAACGUCACCCAAACACGGCUCCAACUUCCUGGAGGCCGUCUGGUCAAUUCCUCAAGCAAUUGAGGUGCACCGGCCUUUCCUCGAUGUCUCAUCGGCCCCCUGCAAUGCUUAUUACUUGUUUUGAAAGCCUAUUCUUUAGCUAAAUUAGGAAUGAGACCCUCCUACGCUAAAUGACACAAAAGUAAACAUUCCAUUCUUACAUCAAAUUAUGUAGAUAGAUACAACCAACUUGCGGACACUUUUUUUUAUGUUUUAUGGUGUUAGUUGAAGUGUUAACACACUAGUCACGUGUUACAUUAUUGUCUGCUGCUUAUGCUUUUAAGAGCUCACUACCCUUUUUUUUUAAAAAAGAAAUUAUUUAUAAAGAUUGAAGAGGGAACAACGAUAAUUGCCGUCCCUGUCCUUGAGGAACUUGGGACAGCAGAAACACCUACCAUCCUGUUACUUAUUUGGUCUCACGAAAAAUGACUACGAUAAUAGUCUUAAGAUUAGUAGAUGUGCACCAAUACUUCCAUUCAGGUUUAUAUCACAUGCAGCUUUAUUAUUCGUCUACGACCCAUCAACAUUGAAUAUUUUUGCACUACAACUCGUGACUGUAGGCACGGAUUGACACGAAAUUGCAAUCCUUGAGCUUAAACAGGAUUGAAACGGAUCUCCAAUCCUUGAGUUCUGUUAGAUGUUAUUUCUAGGUGCUAAAUCGCACUGCUACUGCGCACAAUGAUGGGUCAUUUGAGAUGAAUAAAUAUUUAGGUUGGAUAUGUAGAACCUCCAACUAUAUAGUCCGCCUAUGUAGAAACCUUGUCAGGCGAUCUAUUUCACCGUUAUAUUACGGAUUGUCACUUUGAUGAGACAAUAUUCCUAUCGUUAUGGGGACAUAUAUAAGAACAUAAGUGUUUAAGUGGAACGACGUGAAUUGUCAUGGUUUGUCCCCACUAAGUCUCAUCUUAAUCUCAAAUGCUUAAAGUGUUAAAAUGACGACAUCACAUGCUGCAAAUAUGUCUGCAAGGAUUGAUGUCUUAUCAAAGGACAUGGCGCGACCAAAAGAAGUUGAUAUUGGCGCCAUCACCAUGGAUGGUGACAUGGUGACGCCAUAUAGUGGCAAAAUUGGUGUCACAAGGCCGUGUGGCUCCCCAAAGGAGGGAGGCUCUUAGGUUCGAUAAUUUCUUGCACUAGGAAGAAAGCGAGCUUGGCACAACCUGAUCCAUUGAUCAGUGAUACUCAAAUCUGUCUCAUAAAGUCUGAAUUAUGAUUAUCAUUGGGGACGCCUCAAUGUCAAAUCCAAUCCAUAUAGAGAUCUCUACAAGUAUUACAUUAGUGUAUAUGAGGAUGUGGGAUAAUGAGUCUACUAUCGAACCACCCUUCGUUGAUGGAUAUCAACUUAGUUGAUUGGCCUAAUGGAAAGAUAUGAUCCAGCAUAACAAAGAGAUAGGUCUUUGGACAGGUGAUAUUGACACCGCAAGUGUAAACCUUAUCAACUAUGUCUUUGUUAGAUAGCGUAGUGAGAACAAGAGCUUAGACUCACCUUAUGGCGCAAGGUCUCUCACUAACACGCACUAGGAUCGACUAUGAUGAGAUAUGCUCUCGUAAUGGAUGUCAUUGAACUCCACUACUUUGUCAGUUUGGUAGUUUCCGAAUAACUGAACAUACAGCCUAUGAAUGUGGUCAUAAUAACAUCUCUAUGGGAUCAGAGAUAUACAUGAAGGUCUUAAACAGACUUUAUUCAUCCGAAUCAAAUGGCUCCAGACCAUAUGAGCACGCGCUUGCAAAAGGAAGUUUAAAACGCACGGUAAGUAACUACUUGAUUUUGAAGGGAUAUGAUGAAUUAUGCCCUUGCGUGUUGAUUCCGAAUUUACAUGGACUCUUGAUGAACUAAGAGAUGCCAAGAUGUAUCAAACAUCUGAAGUUAAGAAUGAAACAGAUCUUGGGAAGACACGGUCUCGAAAAGGCACUCGAUGACUGUAUUGAUGAUGAUUUUCCAUCAAUCGGUUUAGGUGCUCUAACGAAAGUG
RNAcentral lists this long non-coding RNA (6656 nucleotides) under Fragaria vesca (wild strawberry). RNAcentral's name for it is "long non-coding RNA (FVES_LNC001702)". Lineage: Eukaryota; Viridiplantae; Streptophyta; Magnoliopsida; Rosales; Rosaceae. The record is from RNAcentral.